Molecule: transfer RNA, 85 nt
Filed under: Clostridia bacterium
Lineage: Bacteria; Bacillati; Bacillota; Clostridia
Also listed under: 1 other name
Description: tRNA-Leu
Rfam family: tRNA
About the family: Transfer RNA (tRNA) molecules are approximately 80 nucleotides in length. Their secondary structure includes four short double-helical elements and three loops (D, anti-codon, and T loops). Further hydrogen bonds mediate the characteristic L-shaped molecular structure. tRNAs have two regions of fundamental functional importance: the anti-codon, which is responsible for specific mRNA codon recognition, and the 3' end, to which the tRNAs corresponding amino acid is attached (by aminoacyl-tRNA synthetases). tRNAs cope with the degeneracy of the genetic code in two manners: having more than one tRNA (with a specific anti-codon) for a particular amino acid; and 'wobble' base-pairing, i.e. permitting non-standard base-pairing at the 3rd anti-codon position.
Source: RNAcentral
GCGGGCGUGGCGGAAUGGCAGACGCGCUAGACUUAGGAUCUAGUGAGCUAAGCUCGUGGAGGUUCAAAUCCUCUCGCCCGCACCA